This 253-nucleotide ribosomal RNA is filed under the name uncultured bacterium. RNAcentral describes it as "partial 16S ribosomal RNA". It matches the Rfam family "Bacterial small subunit ribosomal RNA", at positions 524 to 776 of the family's 1533-position model. The record is from RNAcentral.
UACGGGGGGGGCAAGCGUUGUUCGGAAUUACUGGGCGUAAAGGGCUCGUAGGCGGCCAACUAAGUCAAACGUGAAAUCCCUCGGCUUAACCGGGGAACUGCGCUUGAUACUGGAUGGCUUGAGAUUGGGAGAGGGAUGCGGAAUUCCAGGUGUAGCGGUGAAAUGCGUAGAUAUCAGGAGGAACACCUAUUGCGAAGGCAGCUCGCUGGGACGUAACUGACGCUGAGACGCGAAAGCGUGGGGAGCAAACAGG